Amphiprion ocellaris (clown anemonefish) is the source of this 1070-nucleotide long non-coding RNA. NCBI's taxonomy places the organism in Eukaryota, Metazoa, Chordata, Actinopteri, Pomacentridae. The record is from Ensembl.
GGUUUUUUUUUUUCUAAACUGUACUUUAUUUUCUUUUAAAGACAUAUGUUUUAAAACAGCGAUUGUAGAGAAUAAAUAAAGAAACAUGUUUUUGUUUUUUUUUUUUACUUCCAUAGGUACAUUUAUGUAAUUAAAAACUCUAUAAUAAGUGUGUUCAUUGUCUUGAAGACCACGAGGAAUCCUCCUAUUUUUUUCUUCUUCUUAAAUUAAAAAGAAAUUGUCACAUCUCCCCACCGCCAUCAGAUUGAUUACCAAAUAAAUUAAAACGUAAAAAAUCAAGAUAGAAAAAUUCCCAGCCCUUCCUUUCCUCUUUGUUAAUUUUUAAAAGUAGUGGCAGCAGAGAAUCUGAAGUUUUGAAGUCCUCCGUUUUUAGAACUAAGGUAUGUACACAGCGAGAAGAAAUCCGUCCCUCUUCCAGUUUAAUUACCCCAUGUUUUUUUUCUUUAAAUUUACGUAUAAAUAAUAAAACUAACUCUACAUAACAAUAUUACCAAUGGUAAUCAUACAGAAUAGUAUUUUCUUUUGCCUCCGGCUGUGUAGACUGGCCCUCUGUUAACGCCAUAGACCACAAAUCACACUAUACAGUAGAACCCUGUUCAGUAGAAUAACAUCAGUGAUAUGCUUUUUCUUAACAUGUAUAUCUUGUUGCCGACAAUAGAAUAUGUACAUAAUAUAAAUGAAUCCAGCUGUGGAAUGAUAGGAACUCUGGAGCACUUCUGGAUAUUGCAAAUGCUGAUUCUGUUCGAUGUAUUUGUUGCUGACAUUACUGCUGCUGUAGUUUCUUUUCUCUUUUUUUCUUUCUUUUUUAAUUCUGUAAGCGCAUACACGUGAUACUGCUUUUUGUGAAGUGUUGCUCCUGUGCUAUACGGUUGGUCAAACAACCAAAAAAGGCUGGGACAUCCCAAGUGGUUUUCUUGAUUGAACUCUUAGGUUUUCCUGGAGGUGAAGGAGAGAGAGAGAGAGGAAAAAAGAGAGAGAGCACAGAGCGUUUUAAAGCAAAUCCCAGAAAUGAAACACAUAAAUUCAACACUUUUGGAAGUGGAGUAAGUGUCUGCAAUACACAACUGCUU